Long non-coding RNA from Neltuma alba, 290 nucleotides. RefSeq lists it as uncharacterized. The transcript has 3 exons. The record is from RefSeq and is a predicted model, not a curated record. Lineage: Eukaryota; Viridiplantae; Streptophyta; Magnoliopsida; Fabales; Fabaceae.
CGGCAAGUCACUGUCACGCUUUGCCGAUAUCAUUGCCCUUUGUGUUCAGCCGGAGCCUGAAUUCCGACCUCCCAUGUCUGAGGUUGUGCAAGCACUGGUCCGGCUAGUGCAAAGAGCAAGUGUGGUCAAACGCCGCCCCAGUGACGAAUCUGGGUUUGGUCACAAGACCCCAGAUCAUGAAUCCUUUGACAUGUCAUUUUAAAGAACACAGGAAGGAAUAGAGAAGUUGUGAAGAUGUUUCAAACAGAUCCAAGAUAUUUGUAAUUACAUGCAUUGGAAUUUUAUUAUUA